UGAACGCUGGCGGCGUGCCUAAUACAUGCAAGUCGAGCGAACAGACGAGGAGCUUGCUCCUCUGACGUUAGCGGCGGACGGGUGAGUAACACGUGGAUAACCUACCUAUAAGACUGGGAUAACUUCGGGAAACCAGAGCUAAUACCGGAUAAUAUAUUGAACCGCAUGGUUCAAUAGUGAAAGACGGUUUUGCUGUCACUUAUAGAUGGAUCCGCGCCGCAUUAGCUAGUUGGUAAGGUAACGGCUUACCAAGGCGACGAUGCGUAGCCGACCUGAGAGGGUGAUCGGCCACACUGGAACUGAGACACGGUCCAGACUCCUACGGGAGGCAGCAGUAGGGAAUCUUCCGCAAUGGGCGAAAGCCUGACGGAGCAACGCCGCGUGAGUGAUGAAGGUCUUCGGAUCGUAAAACUCUGUUAUUAGGGAAGAACAAAUGUGUAAGUAACUAUGCACGUCUUGACGGUACCUAAUCAGAAAGCCACGGCUAACUACGUG
RNAcentral lists this ribosomal RNA (495 nucleotides) under uncultured bacterium. RNAcentral's name for it is "partial 16S ribosomal RNA". It matches the Rfam family "Bacterial small subunit ribosomal RNA", at positions 30 to 507 of the family's 1533-position model. The record is from RNAcentral.